GACCCGUUUUAAUUUUGGGGGACCGCAGAUCAGGCAGGGAUACCCGCUGAAACUUAAGCAAUA
This 63-nucleotide ribosomal RNA is filed under the name Terfezia claveryi. RNAcentral describes it as "partial 28S ribosomal RNA". Lineage: Eukaryota; Fungi; Ascomycota; Pezizomycetes; Pezizales; Pezizaceae. The record is from RNAcentral.